RNAcentral lists this ribosomal RNA (489 nucleotides) under uncultured bacterium. RNAcentral describes it as "bacterial SSU rRNA". It matches the Rfam family "Bacterial small subunit ribosomal RNA", at positions 28 to 505 of the family's 1533-position model. The record is from RNAcentral.
GAUGAACGCUAGCGGCAGGCUUAACACAUGCAAGUCGAGGGGCAGCAUAUUUUGUAGUAAUACAAGAUGAUGGCGACCGGCGCACGGGUGCGUAACGCGUAUGCAACCUACCAUAUACAGGGGGAUAAACUUUCGAAAGGGAGCCUAAUACCCCAUAGUAUUAUUUUAAGGCAUCUUGCAAUAAUUAAAGAUUUAUUGGUAUAUGAUGGGCAUGCGUGUCAUUAGCUAGUUGGUAAGGUAACGGCUUACCAAGGCGACGAUGACUAGGGGUUCUGAGAGGAAGAUCCCCCACACUGGUACUGAGACACGGACCAGACUCCUACGGGAGGCAGCAGUGAGGAAUAUUGGUCAAUGGGCGAGAGCCUGAACCAGCCAUGCCGCGUGCAAGGAAGACGGCCCUAUGGGUUGUAAACUGCUUUUAUGUGAGGAUAAACCUAUUCUUGCGAGAGUAGCUGAAGGUAUCACAUGAAUAAGGAUCGGCUAACUCCG